Long non-coding RNA from Formica exsecta, 683 nucleotides. RefSeq lists it as uncharacterized. The record is from RefSeq and is a predicted model, not a curated record. The transcript has 3 exons. Lineage: Eukaryota; Metazoa; Arthropoda; Insecta; Hymenoptera; Formicidae.
UAGUCUAGUCAAGCUUUGAUCACUUGUGUGAGGGGACAUCUCUCAAUCCUUGUUCUGAAGUAAUAUUAUCUUAAAGUUCUGAUUAAACACAACAAUUUGUAAGAUUCACCGAACAAUAGUGCUGUUUGGAAAUCUAUAUAUAUGACAUGAGAUUCAAUCUGUACAUCGUCAUAUUAUUGUCAAUAUUGGCGAUUGCGGCCUGCGUAGUACCAGAAAAAUUGCUAUGGAAGCAAAAGAAAAUAAAGCUAGAUACGUGGUUUCGCAGACCACGACCACCCGCAUUUCCAUGCGAAUUAUGCAAUGCAAGAUAAUAUGAUGAUCUAUUUCGCUCGUGACAUAAACACUCAACGUUCAAAAAUAAUCAGUAUAAAAUUUGAUGUUACAUAUAUUAUGUUACAGUAUUAUGUGCUACAUAUUUUAAUAUUUUAUGAUAAUUUAAUGAGUUUUAUAUAUAAAUAAACUCAUAUCAAAUAAUAUUCACAAUGUUUUUGAUCUUAUGCAGAGCAUAAAAUAUUAAAAUAUGAUUACUGCUAUAAAUAAAAAAUGUUACUAUAAAUAAUAAAUAUUACGGUGAAAAUGUUAAAGCGUAACAUGAUAUUUGUGGUAAUAAAAGAUUUUUGCUAAACAAUCGAUAUAAAUUGCAUUAUAUUGUGUCACAUUUCCUAUCGGUAAAUGCCUCGUCA